Molecule: RNA transcript, 2116 nt
Organism: Vitis riparia (riverbank grape)
Lineage: Eukaryota; Viridiplantae; Streptophyta; Magnoliopsida; Vitales; Vitaceae
Exons: 8
Source: RefSeq, a predicted model, not a curated record
CCCUCAAGCCAAAAAGAGCGAAGCAGCCUUUGAAAAUUGAAACACCAUAACCCUCCUCCGCGGCCUUUCUCCUCAACCUCUGUCUCCUAAAUGUACAGGCAUUCUUUAGCUGGGUGCUGUUUUCUAGUUAAAAAUGUGUCAAAACUCUCAUCAUUAUAUAAAGCCGCGACCAAUUCCUCGACCUUUAUGCUAUCUCAUGUCAUGCAAAUGCACCCAAGAAGCUACAAGGUAGCUGCAGGGGAGUGUGUAUGGUCUCCAUGCAAUACUUUGUUGUGGCAUGGGUCCAACAUGGUUGGGUGUGGUGAUGCUCUUUCAAAAUGGGCACGAGCUAGGUACAUGAGCAAUACAUCCAUUGAACUGAAGCCGGACAGUGAUGUUGUCAGAUUUAAUAUUGGUGAGCCGCCUGGUAAAACUGGGACCUCAAAGAAAGGAAAGAAGAAAAUGAGACGAGUUAAAAUGUCUAGGAAGGCCAAAUUGAAUGAACUCAGGUUCUACAGACUAAAGGCAAAAAAGAAGAUAACAUCUCCAAAUCCAGAAGUUAGGAUUCGGUACAAACUUGAAAAGGCUAAAAGAAAGGAAGAAUGGUUGAUUGAGAAGCUGAGGAAAUUUGAUAUUCCUAAAGCCCCCGCUGAAGCAUAUGAUCCUGAAAUUCUGACCGAGGAAGAGAAAUUUUACCUAAAGCGUACUGGUGAGAAAAAGAAGAAUUAUGUUCCAGUUGGGAGGCGAGGCGUUUUUGGGGGUGUUGUUCUCAAUAUGCAUCUCCAUUGGAAGAAGCAUGAGACUGUAAAGGUUAUCUGCAAACCUUGCAAGGUUGGGCAGGUUUAUGAAUAUGCUGAAGAGCUUGCCCGGCUGAGCAAAGGCAUCGUGAUCGAUAUAAAGCCUAACAACACCAUAAUAUUCUACCGAGGAAAGAACUAUGUACAGCCACAAGUUAUGUCACCCCCUGAUACCCUUUCCAAAAGCAAGGCUUUGGAAAAGUAUAGGUAUGAGCAGUCCCUGGAGCAUACAAGUCAGUUUAUUGAGAAAUUGGAGAAAGAGCUAGAAGAGUAUCAUAAACACCUUGCUCAGUACAGGAAACAGAAGGAAAAUCAACCCUGACAUUCUUUGGUUAACGCUAGGUGGAGCAGGGCUUUGAGGGUCCAAAAUAGACUUGGUGGUGGAGUUGGUCUUUCACCACUGAACACCUUGUGAUUGGUUUGAGAAUCUUGGUUUGGUGGCUAGAGCUGAAGGCUCAUCAAGUUUUAAGAUCUCUCAUCAUUGUUGGAUGCAACUCUUCAUCAGAGGCAAUGUAUGUUUGUAUUCCCAUAAGCUGGAUUUUCCUAAGGUCACCAGAUUAUUCAUUUUCCAUCACCUUUGAUCAUUGAAGGGGGAAUCAAAGCUGAUCAAUAAUGUAUAUUUACUCUUUGUUUUGUGUUGCUGUAUGGCAAGAAGGCUUGAAUUAAACGUCAACCAUCUUGAUUCAAAAUUUGUUUUUACUUCAGAUUUUGUCAGCCAUUCAAAUUUUGAAGAAAAAGGACAUUGUAUUGAUGGGGAGGCAGCCUACUGAAUCAUGGGAUAAACUUUUUGAUAUUGAGGUCAACUGAUAUGUGGGAACGCUGGAGAAGAAUUUGGGAGAAAACUUUCUUAAUUUGAGAUCAAGUGAUCUGUUGCUUUGGGUUACACAAGGGCAUUAUAACAUUGUGAUGCCUUCAAUGGUUCAUAAAUUUUUGAGAACCUAUGGGUGGGUUUACCACUUGAAGGCAACCCCAUACUACUAGAAAUAUAGUUGGCUUACUAACUUCAGGCUUGGGAUGGGAAUGCCAUUCCAGCAUUCCUCAUCAUAAAAUUGUAAUUACCAUUACAUGAGAAAAGACCAUGAGGAGCUAUCGUUGAAUAGGUUGAAAAAUUCUUUUGUUUGUAAUCUUUGGGUGUGGUCUAAACCUGUUGUAAAUGAAGGUCCUCUCUCUUUACUCGGUUUUUUUUAUUGGCUAGGUGCUAGGUGAGGGUUGGUAUUGUAUUUCUGCUUCUUUUUGUGCCAUAGGGCGCCUCUUGUAUACUCCCUGUAUGCUUUUGGGCCUGUUUUUGGGGCUCCUUGCUAAUAUAUGCUUCUUUGUGUGUUUGCCAAUCAAAAAAAAAA